UACGAAGGGGGCUAGCGUUGCUCGGAAUCACUGGGCGUAAAGGGUGCGUAGGCGGGUCUUUAAGUCAGGGGUGAAAUCCUGGAGCUCAACUCCAGAACUGCCUUUGAUACUGAGGAUCUUGAGUACGGGAGAGGUGAGUGGAACUGCGAGUGUAGAGGUGAAAUUCGUAGAUAUUCGCAAGAACACCAGUGGCGAAGGCGGCUCACUGGCCCGAUACUGACGCUGAGGUGCGAAAGCGUGGGGAGCAAACAGG
RNAcentral lists this ribosomal RNA (253 nucleotides) under uncultured bacterium. RNAcentral's name for it is "partial 16S ribosomal RNA". It matches the Rfam family "Bacterial small subunit ribosomal RNA", at positions 524 to 776 of the family's 1533-position model. The record is from RNAcentral.